This 684-nucleotide long non-coding RNA is filed under the name Coturnix japonica (Japanese quail). Its description in RNAcentral is "lncRNA (ENSCJPG00005001540.1)". The record is from RNAcentral. Lineage: Eukaryota; Metazoa; Chordata; Aves; Galliformes; Phasianidae.
GCUAAAAUAUCCCCCAUAAAGUAACCCCAUAUAACCCCAUAUCCCCAGUUAGUUCCCCCCAUAUUAACGCCCCCAUAAUAACCCCAUAUAACCCCAUAUAUCCCCAUAUAUCCUAUAAUAACCCUAUAUAUUACCCCAUAUAUUAUCCCAUACAGUCCCUGCGUUCAAAAGAGCCCUUUCCACUUAUGGGGCCGGGGGCUUUGUCCAGGCCGUUGUUUCCCGUCGGGAUCGUGACGCGCUGCAGGUUGUGGUUCAAUGCUGGCGAGGUUGGGGGCACUGAGACCCAACUGUGUCCUAUUGGGGUGGCCACGGGGGGCACAGCUCAGGGAGGACCCUAUAGCGGCAACUGAGUUUGUGGGUACGGGAUAUAUGUAUGGAGCAGUUCAUAUUAGGGGGAAUUAAUAUGGGGUAAUAUGGGGGGAUAUGGGGUUUAUGGGGGAAUGGGGGGAUAUGGGGUCCUAAUAGGGGAAUAUAUGGGGUUAUAUGAGGUAUAUAUGGGAUAUAUGGGUUAUGGGGGUCAGGUUAUGGGAGGUUAUAUGGGGUUAUAUGAGGGUUAUAUGGGGAGAUAGGGGGAGAUAUGGGGGAUAUGGGGAGUGAUAUGGGGUCUAUAUGGGGGGAUAUGGGGUGACUAUUAGGGGGGGAUAUGGGCGGUCCUAUGGGAAGAGUAUUGCGGGUAUAGGGGGG